UGUAAACCAGGUCACCAUGGCUUUCAGCAG
Molecule: non-coding RNA, 30 nt
Filed under: Mus musculus (house mouse)
Lineage: Eukaryota; Metazoa; Chordata; Mammalia; Rodentia; Muridae
Source: RNAcentral